AGAUCUUUUAUGUCAAGCUUGUGAGCAAUCGUCUCAUCAACCAGCCACUUUGCAUUUUUCACAGCUUCCCUCUGAAAAUAUAGAGGAAGAUCAAGUAUUAUUCAUGUCUCAACAUUAAAAGAAGAUUAAUCUCUCUUUAAUUUCAAUGAUUUUUUUACCUGAAAGGUUGAGUUUUUGGUGUAGCUGUAGGUGCCAUCUCCACCAUUCAUCGGAUGUGAUUCAGGCAUUGUGGCAGUGCUGUCGCUCAUCUCUCUUCUGUAUGUGCAAUGCCUCACGUUUUGGUACUUAUUUAUUCUCAUCAUCAUUCAUACUUUUCAAAUGUAACAUCAUGAAUUUUCACAACCUUAGUUUUGACAAUGAUCAAAAUUUGGGAUUGAAAUCUUGGAAAUUCAAAAUUUGCGACUUCAAGUAGUUUUACUAUCUUCAUAAAUCACGUGUGCUUUCUUUGACAAUUAUUUACAAGACAAGUCAGAGUAAAAAUGUGGGUUUUUUUCUUAUAUGAAAUGGUGUUUUAUUAGUUUCAACUCCACACAGAAUUUAGCAUGAAUAAAGCAAAUUAAGCAUAUUUAUUAUUGAAUUACUAGAAAUCACUGAUAACUAGUUGAAAAUUAUUUAUUUAUUAUACAUAUCACACAUAACAAGCACAAAAUUAAAUCAUUUGCGUUGAAGCACGUAGUAAGAUUGAAUUUUAUCCUUGUAAGCUCUUUCCAUCUUGUCGAAGACCUUGGGAAGUUGAUUUACCAGUAACUGAUCGAAUAUUUCAUCCACAAUUUCUUCUGAGAAGUGUUUGGAGAACAUUCCUUCCAUUGGAGCCCGGAUGUGCCUCACGUAUUCUUUCAUUUCAACAUGCACUGUAUCUUUUAGCCAAGGAGCUGGAUUUGUUA
Molecule: long non-coding RNA, 884 nt
Filed under: Manihot esculenta (cassava)
Lineage: Eukaryota; Viridiplantae; Streptophyta; Magnoliopsida; Malpighiales; Euphorbiaceae
Description: long non-coding RNA (MESC_LNC010433)
Source: RNAcentral